Herpailurus yagouaroundi (jaguarundi) is the source of this 1378-nucleotide long non-coding RNA. RefSeq lists it as uncharacterized. The transcript has 2 exons. The record is from RefSeq and is a predicted model, not a curated record. Lineage: Eukaryota; Metazoa; Chordata; Mammalia; Carnivora; Felidae.
AUUGUAUAAGCAAUAGGAUGUCAACAGACAUGGAGGAAUGAUCGGCUCUGAUUUACAUUUUCAAGUGCUAACUCUGGCUGCUGGUUGGAGAAAGAACUAGAUGGGGCAAAGAGUAGGAAUGGAUAGACCAAGUAGGAGACAAAAGCAACUGUCCAGAUUAUCAGUUCCCUGAGGGCAAAGCCUCUGGAAAAUAUUACUGUUCCUCAUCACAGCCUGGAUGCCGCACACGAGAACACCCCAAAGAGACCGGCGUGUGGCCUGGAUUUGCCUAACCUUGGCUGCGACAUCAGAGCUCAGGGAUCCAGUUACAGAUCAGCCCAGAGGUCUGUUUCUGAUCAGCUCGGCAGCCAUCUGUAAUGCCUGCUAGUCAUUUAACCUGGCAGAGAGUAAGGGCCUCUCCCCCAAAUAGAGUGUAAAACCACAACCACAGCCCGCAAGACCUUGAGACGUGCAAAUCCAGCGAUUACCCAAUGGCAAGUAUGGGUGUGCUGGAAGGCAGCCUUUUCCAAGUCUUCUAAGUCCAGAAUCACUUGGAUCACAUCACACUUGCCCAAGAUGGACACAAUGGGGUGCGUGACCUUCCGACUUCAACAACCCCCACCAUUUCAGAGUCCUGAGGAUGACUUUGAAUCUGGAUGCUUCUGAGGCCUCAAAUGCUCACAUCACCUGGAGACUCUGCAAGACCAAGAAGCUGUGGGAUUGGCUGGCGGUGAUGUCACAGCCAUGCCAGCACUGCCUUCUGAGUGGCUGUCUGCCCCCUUGACUAUCCCCUACCCCAUCUUGAUUUAUACAUGAUAUCUUAUAAUAUCCAAAGCAGCGCUCAAGGAAUCUUCCUUAGCCUCAGCCUCCUACCGCCACCCCAGGCAUAUAAUAAUGUCCCAGAAAUACACAGGCUGCCAUAUCUUAUUACAUAAAUAUAGGCCUGAGAAGCUUCUUCAUGUGACAGUAGGAAGCAAGUGCCACCCAGGAAUGGCCCCGGGGAAGAGGGAGACAGAGCACUAUCAUCUCAGAGUUCUUAAGUGGAAAUAUUAUCUCCCAGCAUCGUUCCAAUUAAAAUUGGAAAAUUUGGGGGCCCCCCCCUCCCCUUUCCGAUAUGUUGGGGCAGGAACACAGGGAAGGAUAUGCACCCAGAAGUCCUGCUUUGUUCCCUGGCUCUGCUGGGCAUUUCAGUGUGUUGAGAAGGUCACUGUCUUCUGAGUUGUGGUUUCCUCCUCUCUAGAAUGAGGGGAAACGGUACAACCUGCCAGGUGAAUUUUUGACGGAAUGAAAGGACACCACAGGUGUGAAAAUGUGAAAAUACAAACUACAGCUACACAAAUUUUAUUUCAUAAUCAUCAUAACAACAGUGAUAAUAAUGAUAAAUUUCCAUGCCUCUUGA